Molecule: transfer RNA, 101 nt
Filed under: Laccaria bicolor S238N-H82
Lineage: Eukaryota; Fungi; Basidiomycota; Agaricomycetes; Agaricales; Hydnangiaceae
Rfam family: tRNA
About the family: Transfer RNA (tRNA) molecules are approximately 80 nucleotides in length.
Source: Rfam by way of RNAcentral
GCCCGCCUAGCUCAAUCGGAUAGAGCGUCAGACUCUUAUCUGGUGUUUCGUUCUGAUGCGGGUAAAUCUGAAGGCUGCGAGUUCGACCCUCGUGGUGGGCU